This 1030-nucleotide ribosomal RNA is filed under the name human gut metagenome. RNAcentral describes it as "bacterial SSU rRNA". It matches the Rfam family "Bacterial small subunit ribosomal RNA", at positions 11 to 1046 of the family's 1533-position model. The record is from RNAcentral.
GUUUUAUUUUGGCUCAAGAUUAACCGCGGGCGGGUUGCUUACCACAAGCAAGUCGACGGGGUCCCGCCGGUUUUUGUUGGUGGGUGAGAGUGCGAAACGGGUGAGUAAUGCGUGACCGACCUGCCCCCAUACACCGGAAUAGCUCCUGGAAACGGGUGGUAAUGCCGGAUGCUCCAGUUGAUCGCAUGGUCUUCUGGGAAAGCUUUCGCGGUAUGGGAUGGGGUCGCGUCCUAUCAGCUUGACGGCGGGGUAACGGCCCACCGUGGCUUCGACGGGUAGCCGGCCUGAGAGGGCGACCGGCCACAUUGGGACUGAGAUACGGCCCAGACUCCUACGGGAGGCAGCAGUGGGGAAUAUUGCACAAUGGGCGCAAGCCUGAUGCAGCGACGCCGCGUGAGGGAUGGAGGCCUUCGGGUUGUAAACCUCUUUUAUCGGGGAGCAAGCGAGAGUGAGUUUACCCGUUGAAUAAGCACCGGCUAACUACGUGCCAGCAGCCGCGGUAAUACGUAGGGUGCAAGCGUUAUCCGGAAUUAUUGGGCGUAAAGGGCUCGUAGGCGGUUCGUCGCGUCCGGUGUGAAAGUCCAUCGCUUAACGGUGGAUCCGCGCCGGGUACGGGCGGGCUGGAGUGCGGUAGGGGAGACUGGAAUUCCCGGUGUAACGGUGGAAUGUGUAGAUAUCGGGAAGAACACCAAUGGCGAAGGCAGGUCUCUGGGCCGUUACUGACGCUGAGGAGCGAAAGCGUGGGGAGCGAACAGGAUUAGAUACCCUGGUAGUCCACGCCGUAAACGGUGGAUGCUGGAUGUGGGGCCCGUUCCACGGGUUCCGUGUCGGAGCUAACGCGUUAAGCAUCCCGCCUGGGGAGUACGGCCGCAAGGCUAAAACUCAAAGAAAAUUGACGGGGGCCCGCACAAGCGGCGGAGCAUGCGGAUUAAUUCGAUGCAACGCGAAGAACCUUACCUGGGCUUGACAUGUUCCCGACCGCUCCAGAGAUGGGGCUUCCCUUCGGGGCGGACAAGCUUCAGGCCUAGAU